Long non-coding RNA from Pantherophis guttatus, 186 nucleotides. RefSeq lists it as uncharacterized. The record is from RefSeq and is a predicted model, not a curated record. Lineage: Eukaryota; Metazoa; Chordata; Lepidosauria; Squamata; Colubridae.
UCCGGCAGGCCUGGGGAGGGGAUCCGAAGGAGAGGAAACAGCUGCAAAUCACGAUGCCUGAGCAGAUUCUCCACCCCCAAAGGAGCCAGGCUGCUUGCAGGGUUCUGCCAACCCAGGAGACGGAGGCGGGAGUGAAGGGCUGACGAUUCACACCCUUGCUGUAAAUAAACCUUGCAGCCCCCAAAA